AUGUCAUCCCCGCACGUAGCAACGCGCGGAGGGGAGCGGGCUCUGCCCCCGGCACGGCCAUCGGCCACGGCUGGAGAUAGCCUGGGGACCCCUACCAGCCCCACGACGGCCCCAAGUGCAGGGAUGGAGGAGGGCGUCCGGACAGAGAGAAGGGACGAAUGGCAGGGCGUUUGUCCUGAGCAGCCAAAGCGCAAGAAUUCAUGAAAGCUGAGCAAAUUAAAGAUGAGUCUUUAAAGAUAACACAAAAAGUUCCCAGCCAAGAUGGACGAAUAGGAACAACUCUGGUCUGCAGUUCCCAGUGAGACCAAUGCAGAAGGAGGAGGAUGAAGCUCAGAAAGUUCAGUUGACCUGAGAAAAGUCACACAGACAGUGACUAGCAAAACUGCAAGCGGACUAAUACUUACCUGAUUCGAAGUCUCCUGAUGGUUUUGCUAUGCCUCCACGUAGAAUGCCUAUCCAUUGCAAUUCCCUGCCUCAGGGACCAGUGGAAGAAGGGUGAGAGCAAAGAAUUGGAAAGAGAAGAUGUUGGCUUUCCUCUUUUCUAUCUGCAAGACCCCUGCCUAGACAUAUCUGUGUGGUG
This 580-nucleotide long non-coding RNA is filed under the name Homo sapiens (human). RNAcentral describes it as "HSALNT0348329". The record is from RNAcentral. Lineage: Eukaryota; Metazoa; Chordata; Mammalia; Primates; Hominidae.